This 703-nucleotide ribosomal RNA is filed under the name Enterobacter cloacae. RNAcentral's name for it is "bacterial SSU rRNA". It matches the Rfam family "Bacterial small subunit ribosomal RNA", at positions 52 to 744 of the family's 1533-position model. Lineage: Bacteria; Pseudomonadati; Pseudomonadota; Gammaproteobacteria; Enterobacterales; Enterobacteriaceae. The record is from RNAcentral.
UACCAUGCAGUCGAACGGUAACAGGAAGCAGCUUGCUGCUUCGCUGACGAGUGGCGGACGGGUGAGUAAUGUCUGGGAAACUGCCUGAUGGAGGGGGAUAACUACUGGAAACGGUAGCUAAUACCGCAUAACGUCGCAAGACCAAAGAGGGGGACCUUCGGGCCUCUUGCCAUCGGAUGUGCCCAGAUGGGAUUAGCUAGUAGGUGGGGUAACGGCUCACCUAGGCGACGAUCCCUAGCUGGUCUGAGAGGAUGACCAGCCACACUGGAACUGAGACACGGUCCAGACUCCUACGGGAGGCAGCAGUGGGGAAUAUUGCACAAUGGGCGCAAGCCUGAUGCAGCCAUGCCGCGUGUAUGAAGAAGGCCUUCGGGUUGUAAAGUACUUUCAGCGGGGAGGAAGGCGAUAAGGUUAAUAACCUUGUCGAUUGACGUUACCCGCAGAAGAAGCACCGGCUAACUCCGUGCCAGCAGCCGCGGUAAUACGGAGGGUGCAAGCGUUAAUCGGAAUUACUGGGCGUAAAGCGCACGCAGGCGGUCUGUCAAGUCGGAUGUGAAAUCCCCGGGCUCAACCUGGGAACUGCAUUCGAAACUGGCAGGCUAGAGUCUUGUAGAGGGGGGUAGAAUUCCAGGUGUAGCGGUGAAAUGCGUAUAGAUCUGGAGGAAUACCGGUGGCGAAGGCGGCCCCCUGGACAAAGACUGAC